CUCUCCAGGUCUGUUUUUCCUCAUCUUCAUAACAAGAAUAAGACUUUCCCAACAGUGCAAGCAUGGAUGGUCAAGUUCAUGAUCAGCUGAAAUAUUUGUGUGCCUCGAGAGGAAGUGAUGGUGACGUGUGCUGUAUUUCCAUUUUCAUGAUCUGCUCACUACUUCUGACAUAGGAGUUGAAAAUUGUCACUGGAAGAUUAUUUCUGAACUCGGUCAACUAAAGGGUUAAGAUCCUCUCCUGACAUUCAAGAAGAAGGUGGUCCUGUUGCUUUCUCAUAAGCUGCGAGAUGUGGAUGCUUCUCUUCUAGCAAGCAAAAACCUGUCCUUCACUUCCACGGAGCUAACCGAACAAAGAUCUCUCCACUUCCCGUUUCAACCUUCCCACCCAACAUUUGAUUCACCAGAUGACUUCUCCUACAGAAGUACCCCACCGUUCUAUCAAAGCUCAAAAGCAGAGUAACAGAAAUCAGCAUUUGUUUCCCUGAAGAAAUGUCUUCUGGGCCAGCUCUUCAUCCAGCUUUCUGCAUUCUGUUCUAAAAUGAGAAAUACUUUCUAAUCAGACACAAGUGGAAGCUGGUGUUCUUCACUGAUACUCCUUCUUCAUUUUAGGAAGGUUAAGUACUUCACUGUGUUGUAUUGGAAUUCCCAGUGGAUAAAGUGUCUGCAUGCGUUGCUAUGUCAGGCUGUCCUGACAUGUAUGAAAAGUUGCAGCAAAGUUGCAGCAGGAAAACCAGAACGUAUUUUCUGUUCUGACAUGAUGAAGGAACUUACCAAACAACUGGGGACAUCCCAUACAGUUGUUUUUAGAUCAAGAGAAGAUGGCUGCUGGAUAGCUAACAUCAGAAGGCCUGACCUUGAGACUCACUUUCUAAGUGGUUGGUAUUCCUUUAUAAAGGGAACCCAUCUCUCCCAAGCCAGACUGGCCCUGGCUGCACUUAAAGCUAGAACACAUCUCUCAAGAUGCCUCACGAGAGAAGAUUAGGUUCUACACUAGAAUAAGCAAAAUUAGUAUUUACUGAUUAAUUGUAGAGUAAGAGGAAUUUGAAUCUAGGACAGGCUCUGGGAUCAAACGCCAGGUCUUUCAGGAAUAAAAAGUUCAUAAGCAUCA
RNAcentral lists this long non-coding RNA (1108 nucleotides) under Athene cunicularia (burrowing owl). RNAcentral describes it as "lncRNA (ENSACUG00000001099.1)". The record is from RNAcentral. Lineage: Eukaryota; Metazoa; Chordata; Aves; Strigiformes; Strigidae.